Molecule: ribosomal RNA, 403 nt
Filed under: Verrucomicrobiota bacterium
Lineage: Bacteria; Pseudomonadati; Verrucomicrobiota
Description: Verrucomicrobia bacterium partial 16S ribosomal RNA
Rfam family: Bacterial small subunit ribosomal RNA
Source: RNAcentral
UGGGGAAUAUUGCACAAUGGGCGCAAGCCUGAUGCAGCAACGCCGCGUGAACGAUGAAGGUCUUCGGAUCGUAAAGUUCUGUUGCAGGGGAAGAUAAUGACGGUACCCUGUGAGGAAGCCCCGGCUAACUACGUGCCAGCAGCCGCGGUAAUACGUAGGGGGCUAGCGUUAUCCGGAUUUACUGGGCGUAAAGGGUGCGUAGGUGGUCCUUCAAGUCGGUGGUUAAAGGCUACGGCUCAACCGUAGUAAGCCGCCGAAACUGGAGGACUUGAGUGCAGGAGAGGAAAGUGGAAUUCCCAGUGUAGCGGUGAAAUGCGUAGAUAUUGGGAGGAACACCAGUAGCGAAGGCGGCUUACGGGAGCGCAACUGACGCUGAAGCUCGAAGGUGCGGGUAUCGAACAGG